GAUGAACGCUAGCUACAGGCUUAACACAUGCAAGUCGAGGGGCAUCAGGAAGAAAGCUUGCUUUCUUUGCUGGCGACCGGCGCACGGGUGAGUAACACGUAUCCAACCUGCCCUUUACUCGGGGAUAGCCUUUCGAAAGAAAGAUUAAUACCCGAUAGCAUAAUGAUUCCGCAUGGUUUCAUUAUUAAAGGAUUCCGGUAAAGGAUGGGGAUGCGUUCCAUUAGGUUGUUGGUGAGGUAACGGCCCACCAAGGCGACGAUCGGUAGCCGGACUGAGAGGUUGAACGGCCACAUUGGGACUGAGACACGGCCCAG
RNAcentral lists this ribosomal RNA (314 nucleotides) under uncultured bacterium. Its description in RNAcentral is "bacterial SSU rRNA". It matches the Rfam family "Bacterial small subunit ribosomal RNA", at positions 28 to 334 of the family's 1533-position model. The record is from RNAcentral.